AGAGUUUGAUCCUGGCUCAGGACGAACGCUGGCGGCAUGCCUAAUACAUGCAAGUCGAACGAGAAAGUUCCUUCGGGGACGAUUAAAGUGGCGCACGGGUGAGUAACGCGUAGACAAUCUGCCCUUCAGUCCGGGACAACUUUCCGAAAGGGGAGCUAAUACCGGAUAACAAUAUUUGACAUAAGUUUAAUAUUUGAAAGCUCCGGCGCUGAUGGAUGAGUCUGCGUCCCAUUAGCUUGUUGGUGUGGUAGUGGCACACCAAGGCUACGAUGGGUAGCGGGUUUGAGAGGACGAUCCGCCACACUGGAACUGAGACACGGUCCAGACUCCUACGGGAGGCAGCAGUAGGGAAUAUUGCACAAUGGAGGCAACUCUGAUGCAGCAAUGUCGCGUGAGUGAAGAAGGCCCUUGGGUCGUAAAGCUCUUUUAUGGGGGAAGAUGAUGACGGUACCCCAAGAAUAAGCACCGGCUAACUACGUGCCAGCAGCCGCGGUAAUACGUAGGGUGCGAGCGUUGUUCGGAAUUACUGGGCGUAAAGGGCGCGCAGGCGGAGAUGCAAGUCGGAGGUGAAAGCCCGGGGCUCAACCCCGGAGGGUCUUUCGAAACUGCUAAUCUAGAGAGGGUCAGGGGCCAGCAGAAUUCUUGGUGUAGAGGUGAAAUUCGUAGAUAUCAAGAGGAAUACCGGUGGCGAAAGCGGCUGGCUGGGGCCACUCUGACGCUGAGGCGCGAAAGCGUGGGGAGCAAACAGGAUUAGAUACCCUGGUAGUCCACGCCGUAAACGAUGAGCACUGGAUGUCCGGAGGGUUCGACCCUUCUGGGUGUCUCAGCUAACGCAUUAAGUGCUCCGCCUGGGGAGUACGGUCGCAAGACUAAAACUCAAAGGAAUUGAC
This 890-nucleotide ribosomal RNA is filed under the name marine metagenome. RNAcentral describes it as "bacterial SSU rRNA". It matches the Rfam family "Bacterial small subunit ribosomal RNA", at positions 8 to 914 of the family's 1533-position model. The record is from RNAcentral.